RNAcentral lists this transfer RNA (69 nucleotides) under Sphaerodactylus townsendi. RNAcentral describes it as "tRNA-Thr". It matches the Rfam family "tRNA". From Rfam's summary of the family: Transfer RNA (tRNA) molecules are approximately 80 nucleotides in length. The record is from RNAcentral. Lineage: Eukaryota; Metazoa; Chordata; Lepidosauria; Squamata; Sphaerodactylidae.
GGGAAUGAUCAGCAGUGGAAUAUCUGCUUUGUAUGCAGAAGGCUCCAGGUUCAAUCCCUGGCAUCUCCA